Molecule: long non-coding RNA, 302 nt
Filed under: Mytilus galloprovincialis (Mediterranean mussel)
Lineage: Eukaryota; Metazoa; Mollusca; Bivalvia; Mytilida; Mytilidae
Source: RNAcentral
GCUUGGGACUAGGAUGUUUCUGUGAGCACUCAACCCUUCUUAUCUUAUAUAUAGUCAUCGUUUCAACAGCACAACAUAAGAACAAUGAAGUUGAGAAUAAAAAGGGGAACUUGUCAAAGUUUAUAUAUUAGUUAACUACAGAAAAUUAAAAACAAAUCAAACUUGUUCGUCUAAUGCCAUUUCUUGAUUCUUGAUAAGUAUAACUAAGUGUACUAACAUUCCAGGAAGGUUUAAACCAAAUUUUGACAAAUAAAUAGAGAUUCUACCACUGCAUCGAGUGCAAUACGAUAUUUAUCCACUCG